ACUCAUACCUGGCAGGGGAGGUACCAUUGUUGUAAAAGUGGUUUUCCUGCAGUAAGGCUCAUCUAUUGCACUCUGGAUGUGCUGACCCCUGUGAUUUCCCCAAAUGCGGGAAAAUCAACUGCCAAAGUGGGGGACUAUGUUUGUGGUUUCCCCUG
RNAcentral lists this small nuclear RNA (155 nucleotides) under Pogona vitticeps (central bearded dragon). RNAcentral describes it as "U1 spliceosomal RNA (ENSPVIG00000002610.1)". It matches the Rfam family "U1 spliceosomal RNA". From Rfam's summary of the family: U1 is a small nuclear RNA (snRNA) component of the spliceosome (involved in pre-mRNA splicing). Its 5' end forms complementary base pairs with the 5' splice junction, thus defining the 5' donor site of an intron. Lineage: Eukaryota; Metazoa; Chordata; Lepidosauria; Squamata; Agamidae. The record is from Rfam by way of RNAcentral.